UCCCUGGUGGUCCAGUGGCUAAGACUCCGCACUCUCAAUGAGGGGUCCCGGGUUCGAUCCCUGGUCAAGGAA
RNAcentral lists this transfer RNA (72 nucleotides) under Ovis aries (sheep). It matches the Rfam family "tRNA". Rfam says of the family: Transfer RNA (tRNA) molecules are approximately 80 nucleotides in length. The record is from Rfam by way of RNAcentral. Lineage: Eukaryota; Metazoa; Chordata; Mammalia; Artiodactyla; Bovidae.